RNAcentral lists this ribosomal RNA (274 nucleotides) under uncultured bacterium. RNAcentral's name for it is "partial 16S ribosomal RNA". It matches the Rfam family "Bacterial small subunit ribosomal RNA", at positions 523 to 796 of the family's 1533-position model. The record is from RNAcentral.
AUACAGAGGGUGCGAGCGUUAAUCGGAAUUACUGGGCGUAGAGCGCGCGUAGGCGGCUUAUUAAGUCAGAUGUGAAAUCCCCGGGCUCAACCUGGGAACUGCAUCUGAUACUGGUAAGCUAGAGUUUUGGAGAGGGAAGUAGAAUUUCAGGUGUAGCGGUGAAAUGCAUAGAGAUCUGAAGGAAUACCAGUGGCGAAGGCGACUUCCUGGCCAAAAACUGACGCUGAGGUGCGAAAGCGUGGGUAGCAAACAGGAUUAGAAACCCCAGUAGUCC